GAUUAACGCUGGCGGCGUGCAUAACACAUGCAAGUCGAACGAUGAAACUUAGUCAACUUCUUCGGCAAAACACUACUCGGAUUAGUGGCGAACGGGUGAGUAACGCGUGAGUAACCUGCCUUACACAAGGGGAUAGCCUUUGGAAACGAGGAAUAAUACCCUAUAAAACCAUAAAAGCACAUGCUAGAAUGGUCAAAGUGAUAUCGGCCUAAGAUGGACUUGCGUCUGAUUAGCUAGUUGGUGAGAUAAAAGCUCACCAAGGCAACGAUCAGUAGCCGGCUUAGAAGAGUGUCCGGCAAAAUUGAGACGGGGCACCGGCCCAGACUCCUCCGGGGGGAAGAGGUGGGAAAAUUGGAAAAUUGGGGGAACCCCUGAGGAGGCGCCGCGCGGUGAUUUAGAAGGCCUUCGGGUUGUAAAGAUCUUUUGUAUAGGAAGAAAAUGACAGUACUAUACGAAUAAGGUCCGGCUAAUUACGUG
RNAcentral lists this ribosomal RNA (477 nucleotides) under uncultured bacterium. RNAcentral describes it as "partial 16S ribosomal RNA". It matches the Rfam family "Bacterial small subunit ribosomal RNA", at positions 28 to 507 of the family's 1533-position model. The record is from RNAcentral.